ACCUACGGGAGGCAGCAGUGGGGGAUAUUGCACAAUGGGGGAAACCCUGAUGCAGCGACGCCGCGUGAGCGAUGAAGUAUUUCGGUAUGUAAAGCUCUAUCAGCAGGGAAGAAAAUGACGGUACCUGACUAAGAAGCCCCGGCUAACUACGUGCCAGCAGCCGCGGUAAUACGUAGGGGGCAAGCGUUAUCCGGAUUUACUGGGUGUAAAGGGAGCGUAGACGGCAGUGCAAGUCUGAAGUGAAAGGCAAGGGCCCAACCCUUGGACUGCUUUGGAAACUGUGCUGCUGGAGUGUCGGAGAGGCA
RNAcentral lists this ribosomal RNA (305 nucleotides) under uncultured bacterium. Its description in RNAcentral is "bacterial SSU rRNA". It matches the Rfam family "Bacterial small subunit ribosomal RNA", at positions 337 to 659 of the family's 1533-position model. The record is from RNAcentral.